RNAcentral lists this ribosomal RNA (253 nucleotides) under uncultured bacterium. Its description in RNAcentral is "partial 16S ribosomal RNA". It matches the Rfam family "Bacterial small subunit ribosomal RNA", at positions 524 to 776 of the family's 1533-position model. The record is from RNAcentral.
UACGGAGGGUGCAAGCGUUAAUCGGAAUUACUGGGCGUAAAGCGCGCGUAGGCGGCUGGAUAAGUCGAUUGUGAAAGCCUUGGGCUCAACCUGAGAAUUGCAGUCGAGACUGUUCGGCUAGAGUGUGGGAGGGGGUGGUGGAAUUCCCGGUGUAGCGGUGAAAUGCGUAGAUAUCGGGAGGAUCAUUUGUGGAGAAGGCGACCACCGGGAUCUACACUGACGCUGAGGUGCGAAAGCGUGGGUAGCAAACAGG